This is a non-coding RNA of Chiloscyllium plagiosum (whitespotted bambooshark), 1405 nucleotides long. The record is from RefSeq and is a predicted model, not a curated record. NCBI's taxonomy places the organism in Eukaryota, Metazoa, Chordata, Chondrichthyes, Orectolobiformes, Hemiscylliidae.
AGGCACAGGCGGGAGGUGGGCAGUGCGCAAUCGCAGUGCUCUCGUGUGCGUUCUGGGAGCUGAUGUGUAACCGUCGAGUGGCUCGAUGUUCUUAUGGGAGCUGCUUCAAGUCACUGUCCUGACGAAGGAGAACACCUUGAACCGUUUAUUUCUUUAUAGAUAUAUUUCGAGCUUCUUCAACAAUAAAUAAAAACUUGCCUCCUCUUCCACGCAACAUAAAAAGGAGAAUAAAAGCUUAGUGUGUCUGAAAUUAACGCAGUUUCUAAGAGACCUCCGGGGGUCCUUGCUUGCAUUUUUCUGAGGUAAAAUGUGCUUGUCCACUGUCUGUUUCGGAGCAAAGCUACAAAAUAACAAGCGGUCGUUACGUUUUUUUCUCACAAAAAGGGCAGAAAAUCUACAAAAGAAAGAGAAUCAGUUCAGUGUAAGAGAUAAACGUAGGCGACGCUGCGCGUGCUCUGACGCGCUAGGCCCACUGGGAGUUGUAGUUCCUGUGAACGGGAGUCCAGUGAGGGAAGUGGGGGUGACGGCAGGUGGGAACUACAUGUUCCAGUGGCCUCUGCGGCGGAUCCAAACUGCUGUGUGGAUGUGUGUGGUGUAAGUCCCCCUCUGCGCUGGUGAUAUGAUGAUGAUGAUGAUAGGGGUUGUGGUUCAGGGGGUAGUAGAGACAAACCAUUACAAGAGAGAGAGAGAUUCAGCUUCAUCACCGCUAGGGAGCUAGCUGCAAGGGAAUCAGAGAGGGAACGAAGGCGUAAUCCUCCUCGCGCCCCCAAUCAUGGAACCUUAUAACCAUCCUCACCACUACUAACGGCAGGGAGUAUACAAAGGGUCAGCCUGCAGAAUACAGAGCCCAGCUGCAAACAACACCACAACCCUCCAAUCAGUAACACAUUGCACAUUUGGCUUUGUUACUGAAACACUGCUGAAGGAUCUGAUUUGAUAUUGAAUUUGAUGUUCUAACGGAGACUUCCUGGUUCGGACUGUGCACUACUCAUUAAUGAUACUUCAGUGAUUUGAUUAAGGGCCAUGCAGAUGGCUAGUCCCAGAUGAAUCUAACCACAGGUUCUGAGCCGCCCAUCCAGCAGUGCGACUGUGACAAAACAUGGAGGAGCACAGAACAGUUUGCUGCCCCCUGUAAAAUGAGAGAUUCUGCAAGUUCCCAAGCUAAAGAAUGGCCUUUUAAACCGUGAUUUGGAGGUACCAGUGUUGGACUGGGAUCAUUUUGAAGCCAGCUGCAUUAGAAUACCCAUCAAAUAUCAGCAUUGCUAAAAGUGACUAAUCACAUGUCCUCCUCACGUUCGUGGUCUCCUAAAUUUGAAAGCAAUUACACAUUACAAGGAUAUACUUCCCAACCCAAUACCUGCAGUUUUUGUGUCUGUUGGGGAUCAGGUGAAUCCCCAGUGUAUGC